RNAcentral lists this ribosomal RNA (106 nucleotides) under uncultured bacterium. RNAcentral describes it as "partial 16S ribosomal RNA". The record is from RNAcentral.
AAGGCCUUCGGGUUGUAAAGCUCUUUCGGCGGGGACAAAACGGCGACCGCGAAUAACGGUCGUUAAUGAUGGUACCCGAAGAAGAAGCACCCGGCUGACUACGUGC